AUGGCCUCGACAACGGCAUGCUCUGACCACUGCUCGUUGAUCCUAGCGCCGUGUGACGCCCAGGUCCGUCGUGCACGCUUCCGUUUCGAGUCUUUCUGGCCAAAGUUCCCGCACUUCCACACGACGGUCGAGCGGGCAUGGAAUCGCCCGGUGCGCCAGCGUUGCGCUUUUGCAAGGCUUCAGACCAAGUUAACAAGGACAACCCACGACCUGAAGAUCUGGAGUAGGUCACUUUUCAGUGAUGCCAAGACUCAGUUCCACAUUGCUAAUGAGGUGAUUCUGCGGCUCGACGUGGCGCAGGAGACUAGGUCGCUGUCAGCCGCCGAGUUCAAUCUGCACAAGAUGUUGAAGCUGCGGCUGCUUGGUUUAGCGGCGAUCGAGAAGGCCAGAAGGCGGCAGGCCUCCAGAGUGCUCUGGUUACGCGCGGGAGACGCCAACACCAAAUUUUUCCAUGCCAAGUGUUGUUCCAGAAAACGCAAGAACCUCAUCCACACAAUCCAGGGUGAUGAUCAGAUUGCCACAACGCAUAGCGACAAGGCACAACUCAUUUAUGAUCAUUUC
Molecule: ribosomal RNA, 561 nt
Filed under: Triticum aestivum (bread wheat)
Lineage: Eukaryota; Viridiplantae; Streptophyta; Magnoliopsida; Poales; Poaceae
Description: partial small subunit ribosomal RNA
Source: RNAcentral